AUACGGAGGGUGCAAGCGUUGUCUGGAUUUAUUGGGUUUAAAGGGUGUGUAGGCGGUGUAUUAAGUCAGUGGUGAAAGCCUGCGGCUCAACCGUAGAACUGCCAUUGAUACUGACACACUUGAGUAUGGACGAGGUAGGCGGAAUUUAUGGUGUAGCGGUGAAAUGCAUAGAUACCAUAAAGAACACCGAUAGCGAAGGCAGCUUACUAGGCCAUAACUGACGCUGAGGCACGAAAGCGUGGGGAGCGAACAGGAUUAGAAACCCGAGUAGUCC
RNAcentral lists this ribosomal RNA (274 nucleotides) under uncultured bacterium. RNAcentral's name for it is "partial 16S ribosomal RNA". It matches the Rfam family "Bacterial small subunit ribosomal RNA", at positions 523 to 796 of the family's 1533-position model. The record is from RNAcentral.